UCCUGGCUCAGGAUGAACGCUAGCUACAGGCUUAACACAUGCAAGUCGAGGGGCAGCAUGACGAUAGCUUGCUAUUGUCGAUGGCGACCGGCGCACGGGUGAGUAACGCGUAUCCAACCUUCCCAUAGCUAGGGAAUAACCUUGCGAAAGUAAGACUAAUGCCCUAUGUUGUUCUUUGCGGACAUCUAAAGAGAACGAAAGAUUUAUCGGCUAUGGAUGGGGAUGCGUCUGAUUAGCUUGUUGGCGGGGUAACGGCCCACCAAGGCGACGAUCAGUAGGGGGUUCUGAGAGGAAGGUCCCCCACAUUGGAACUGAGACACGGUCCAAACUCCUACGGGAGGCAGCAAUGAGGAAUAUUGGUCAAUGGGCGGAAGCCUGAACCAGCCAAGUAGCGUGCAGGAAGACGGCCCUAUGGGUUGUAAACUGCUUUUAUAGGGGGAUAAAGUGUGCCACGUGUGGCAUAUUGCAGGUACCCUAUGAAUAAGGACCGGCUAAUUCCGUG
Molecule: ribosomal RNA, 502 nt
Filed under: uncultured bacterium
Lineage: Bacteria
Description: bacterial SSU rRNA
Rfam family: Bacterial small subunit ribosomal RNA
Source: RNAcentral